This 253-nucleotide ribosomal RNA is filed under the name uncultured bacterium. RNAcentral describes it as "partial 16S ribosomal RNA". It matches the Rfam family "Bacterial small subunit ribosomal RNA", at positions 524 to 776 of the family's 1533-position model. The record is from RNAcentral.
UACGAAGGGGGCAAGCGUUGUUCGGAAUCAUUGGGCGUAAAGCGCGUGUAGGCUGUCUAUUAUGUCGGGUGUGAAAUCCCUGGGCUCAACCGAGGAAGUGCAUUCGAAACUGAUAGACUAGAAGAUGGUAGAGGAAGGUGGAAUUCCAAGUGUAGAGGUGAAAUUCGUAGAUAUUUGGAGGAAUACCGGUGGCGAAGGCGGCCUUCUGGGCCAUUCUUGACGCUGAGACGCGAAAGCGUGGGUAGCAAACAGG